Molecule: ribosomal RNA, 551 nt
Filed under: bacterium 4(2011)
Lineage: Bacteria
Description: bacterial SSU rRNA
Rfam family: Bacterial small subunit ribosomal RNA
Source: RNAcentral
AGGAGCUUGCUCCUCUGACGUUAGCGGCGGACGGGUGAGUAACACGUGGUAUAACCUACCUAUAAGACUGGGAUAACUUCGGGAAACCGGAGCUAAUACCGGAUAAUAUAUUGAACCGCAUGGUUCAAUAGUGAAAGACGGUUUUGCUGNACUUAUAGAUGGAUCCGCGCCGCAUUAGCUAGUUGGUAAGGUAACGGCUUACCAAGGCAACGAUGCGUAGCCGACCUGAGAGGGUGAUCGGCCACACUGGAACUGAGACACGGUCCAGACUCCUACGGGAGGCAGCAGUAGGGAAUCUUCCGCAAUGGGCGAAAGCCUGACGGAGCAACGCCGCGUGAGUGAUGAAGGUCUUCGGAUCGUAAAACUCUGUUAUUAGGGAAGAACAAAUGUGUAAGUAACUAUGCACGUCUUGACGGUACCUAAUCAGAAAGCCACGGCUAACUACGUGCCAGCAGCCGCGGUAAUACGUAGGUGGCAAGCGUUAUCCGGAAUUAUUGGGCGUAAAGCGCGCGUAGGCGGUUUUUUAAGUCUGAUGUGAAAGCCCACGGCUC